RNAcentral lists this ribosomal RNA (506 nucleotides) under uncultured bacterium. RNAcentral's name for it is "partial 16S ribosomal RNA". It matches the Rfam family "Bacterial small subunit ribosomal RNA", at positions 29 to 523 of the family's 1533-position model. The record is from RNAcentral.
AGUGAACGCUGGCGGUAGGCCUAACGCAUGCAAGUCGAACGGCAGCACAGGAGAGCUUGCUCUCUGGGUGGCGAGUGGCGGACGGGUGAGGAAUACAUCGGAAUCUACUCUGUCGUGGGGGAUAACGUAGGGAAGCUUACGCUAAUACCGCAUACGACCUACGGGUGAAAGCAGGGGAUCUUCGGACCUUGCGCGAUUGAAUGAGCCGAUGUCGGAUUAGCUAGUUGGCGGGGUAAAGGCCCACCAAGGCGACGAUCCGUAGCUGGUCUGAGGGGAGGAUCAGCGACACUGGAACUGAGACACGGUCCAGACUCCUACGGGAGGCAGCAGUGGGGAAUAUUGGACAAUGGGCGCAAGCCUGAUCCAGCCAUACCUCGUGGGUGAAGAAGGCCUUCGGGUUGUAAAGCCCUUUUGUUGGGAAAGAAAUCCAGCUGGCUAAUACCCGGUUGGGAUGACGGUACCCAAAGAAUAAGCACCGGCUAACUUCGUGCCAGCCGCCGCAGUAA